RNAcentral lists this long non-coding RNA (725 nucleotides) under Cyanistes caeruleus (blue tit). RNAcentral describes it as "lncRNA (ENSCCEG00000013651.1)". Lineage: Eukaryota; Metazoa; Chordata; Aves; Passeriformes; Paridae. The record is from RNAcentral.
CCUUUCUAGGCAAAUUCCUACAUUCCUGCAGAUCAAGAUGCAUUUCUUUCUCUUUUCCCUUCCCUCCACAGCAGCUGACCUUUCCUUGAGGGGCAGCUGGGGACAGAUCUGGAAGGUUGGUACCAUUCUGGGCCAGCCACGUGCAAAAAUAACUCCCAGGUGUUUUGGAAGCAGUCACUUCUUCCGGGUUUCCUGGAUAUUGAGGAAGCUGCUGCUCUUCUGGCCAGAGGUCUCCAUGGAAUUCCUCCUUCUGAGACAUGAGGGCCAAUUAAUACUUCUGAUUUCCUCAAACCUGUGUUGACUCCAGUGGCUCUGGCACAGCACGAAUCCACUGGCAAUGCUCUCCUCUAUUCAGCAUUGUCCAGGCAGCAGGACAUAUUCUUGGCCUGAGGAAUCAGCCAGAAUUGCUUAAACCAGAAUCCUUCUGAGGCUUCACCCCUGACAGCCUCAGCAUUAGGCAUGAAGACCAGAAAUGAAAGGUACUCAGACUUCAAAUUCUUGGGUUUUGUCAUUUUCAAGACCUGUGUCUGCCAUUAUCGAUGAUUUCUAUCAAUACCAGGCUACCAAAAGCAAUUUUGGAAGAUGGAUACAAAGGGGAUGUAGUGCAGAUUAAAACUGAAAGCUCCAAGUUAUUCCCUGGGAUUCCUGUAGUAAAAGGAAACCAAUGGUAUGGAAAGGAAUAGAGCAAAAGGAGAUGCUGGUAAUUUCUAUAUGUCACAUUCCAG